This 253-nucleotide ribosomal RNA is filed under the name uncultured bacterium. Its description in RNAcentral is "partial 16S ribosomal RNA". It matches the Rfam family "Bacterial small subunit ribosomal RNA", at positions 524 to 776 of the family's 1533-position model. The record is from RNAcentral.
UACAGAGGAGGCAAGCGUUGUUCGGAAUCACUGGGCUUAAAGCGCGUGUAGGCGGCUUCGUAAGUAUUCUGUGAAAUCCCACGGCUCACCCGUGGAACUGCAGGGUAUACUGCGAGGCUUGAGGUAGGUAGGGGCCACUGGAACUCUCGGUGGAACGGUGAAAUGUGUAGAUAUCGAGAGGAACGCCCGAGGCGAAAGCGGGUGGCUAGGCCUGUCCUGACGCUGAGACGCGAAAGCGUGGGGAGCAAACGGG